Molecule: transfer RNA, 71 nt
Filed under: Candidatus Blackburnbacteria bacterium
Lineage: Bacteria; Candidatus Blackburniibacteriota
Description: tRNA-Gln
Rfam family: tRNA
About the family: Transfer RNA (tRNA) molecules are approximately 80 nucleotides in length. Their secondary structure includes four short double-helical elements and three loops (D, anti-codon, and T loops).
Source: RNAcentral
UGCGGGAUCGUCUAGUGGUAGGACACGGGACUUUGGAUCCCGGUACCUAGGUUCAAAUCCUAGUCCCGCAG